ACUCUUGGAGUAGCAAUUGCUGGAUGUGCCUCUUUUGUUGAGGUGAUUGGAUCUUUUGGCAAAAACCAGUGACUGCAAAGGAUGAGAGAAACGAUCAGAAAAACUGAAAAGCUGUAGGAGACCAAACACUAGUGUCUCCCCUGCUUCAGGGGACACCCACUGUCAGAGUGAACGACAAAGACGCGCGUGGAUGAUUUGAAGAUAUUAGCCUAACAAGAUGGAAGCAGGUUUAAAAUUUUACAUAAGAAGUUACCUUUUUCAGUUGUGUUGAUGUUCCUUUCAGCUGGUCCUAUAGUACCCCUCCUCAGGAAUGUCUCCCCAGUGCAAGGACAAAGACUGAAGAGACUGCUAUAUUGAUGGACUCUCAAGCCAACUAUGAAGUUGAAACAAAGAAAGUGAUCACCUGAAGACACCUCCUCUGCUAAGAAACACCCCCAAAUUGUGCAGCUUCUGCCACUAGAACUCUCAGAACAAGAGACAAUCUUUUCAAGAAACAGAAAAACUCAAUAAUGACAUCUAGAUUUUCAUGAGCCAAGAACUUUCCCUUCCUCAUGUGUAUUCCUCUGUUUGUACUUAAAUUCAUGUGACAUUCAUUUUUUUCCUAGUAUGGAUAUGCUUAUUAAUGCACUUGUUUCAAAAUCCCAAAUUGCACAAAUGUGUUAAUAUUUUAAGAAACAAAAUGAAUCCUACAAGGAGAAUGAUUUUUAGCCACACAUAGGGUUGGAUCUUGAGAGUGACCUACAGAAUAAAAGUACUUUUAAAAUAAAGUAGUCAGAGGCUAUUCAAAGGGUAAAAUAAUCAUAGUACCACAUUGGUCCACUUGACACUAACCAAUCGAUCAUUUUUUUUUAAUCAAGAAAGCUAGAUUCUAUCAGAUAAAAUCACUGCUUCUAAAGAGUUUAAAUCUAGUUAGAAAAAGUUAUAGAAAUGUUUGCAAAGAUAAGUAACAGAUAGAGUCAGUAGAGGAUAAGAUCAAAAACAAAACCAAGCAAAAGAUGAGUUCAGGGGAGUUUGCCAUCAAGUUGGCAAAACUGACUUACUUAGGGAAGAAAGUUAUAAAACAGGAAAAUAUGAGAUGAACCUUGAGUGAUGUGGAAGAUUUAGAUAAAUGGAAAGGAAGGAGAAAAUGGAGUUCUUUAGGUGGUUGUAAUUGGAGGAGGAAAUGAAUACACACAUCUUGUUGACUUAAACCCAGACAUUCAGCAGCUCUCUAUACAUAUCUGGAAAAGACUGCACAGUCACCUCCUGUCUCUCACCCCAGGUAUUACUUAGAAUUAUUAUCAUAUUUCCCUUCCUUUAAAGUAAGUAAGGGUGAUUGGUGACAAUAUGGAGAACUAUGAUUUUUCCAUUAACCUAAUAAUAAUUGGUAUUUAUUGAGUUCUGUUAAGCAUUUUACAUAUUAACUCACUUAAGCCUUUCAACAGCCUUGCAAAAUAGGUAUUAUUAUCCCCAUUUUACAGGCAAGAAAACUGAGGUUUAAGUAACUUGCCGAAGUGCCAUAUACAGGGCUCACAUUCAGUAUUGCAGUUGCAAAGCUCAUGAUCUAUAGUGCCAAGUUGCAAUAUUGUAGUCAAUGUCACAAUUAUUACCCCUUUUUAUAUUCCUUGAUAUUUUUCCAUGGCAAACAAUUAGCUAUUUCAUUUAAUAAUCACCUAAAACUUUUCAGUCUUCUGAUUAAAAUUACGCUGGAGUGAUAGAAUGUAUUUUCAUGAUAGAAAUUGGGAAAAAAAAUGGGGAAUGAAGUUUAUCAGCAUUUCAGACUUGUUUUUUUUUUUUUUUUUUGCAAGACUUUGAUGAGAUUGUUCACUUUUGUCUAUGUAAAAUCCCAAAUCCUUGAGAAUAAAAAAGGGGGAGGUUUAAGUCACUUGUUGCAAUGCCCUUUUUAAUAGAGGCAAUAAAUCUAAAGGCCAUAAAUUUAGAGUGACUUACAGAAGAUCGAACUUUGGAGUGUGGCAGAGUAAGGGAUGGAAACCGGGCCCUCCAGUUCACUAUCAGUAGCUUUUGCACUGGUCUGCCCUUCCUAAAUUAAGUAUGCACUUCAAUUUGAUGAGUGGAAACAGUCUAUCUGGGCAGUAACCAGGGAGCUUUGUGCCUAGUAGAUUGCUUCUGUUCUGCACUUCUUUGGUUUCCCACCUCAAUGUAAAAAAUAGCUAGCAAUGAAGUCCAGAAGUUGUCAAUGGUUCAUCCCCAGAAGAAUGCAUAAUGUCCAAAGUUGUAUGUGUAUGAUGUCUUCAAUGGUAUUAAGUUAUUUCAAAUUCUUAGUUCACCUACAUAAAUCAUUUCUAACAAGCAUCUUCUUAACCAACUUUAUGCACAGUGUAUGUUUGUAAGUGCUUCUGCACGAAUGUUUAUACAUGACUGUUUCCAUAGUACUUAUGUUUUUAAAAAUAUUCAGUCAUUUCCUACUAUAAUCCUCAUGUAUCCAUGUAACUGACUCAAAAAUACUUCAGCCACAGAAAGCUAAAACUGAGCAAAUCUCAUUCUUCUUUUCCAUCCCCUUUGCAUGUGGCUGGCAUUUAGUAAUGAUUAAUAAUAUGGCCAGCUGAAUAACAGAGGUUUGAGACACAAUUCUUUCUCAAAGGAGUCAGCUAAGCUGGGUCUACUUAUGGACAAACAUCUAAAUGUGUGGAAGUAUCUGAUAUUUGACAAUGGUAAAUUUCCACUUAGCUAGCUAGCAUUGUCAGACUUCAAUCUCCUCAUGGCUCUGGCCGUCCUGUUUUAAGCAUGAUAAUUGUUGGCCACAUCUCACAUAGUUCUCAUUGAGUG
Molecule: long non-coding RNA, 2766 nt
Filed under: Homo sapiens (human)
Lineage: Eukaryota; Metazoa; Chordata; Mammalia; Primates; Hominidae
Description: mir-100-let-7a-2-mir-125b-1 cluster host gene
Source: RNAcentral